AGCAUGUGGAUUAUUCGAAGCAACGCGCAGUAACCUUACCUAGGUUUGACAUGCUUGGAUGCUUGCCUAGGAAACAGGUUAAGCUGUCCCUUCGGGGUGAAACUUGCACAGGUGCUGCAUGGCUGUCGUCAGCUCGUGUCGUGAGAUGUCGGGUUAAGUCCUCUAACGAGCGAAACCCUUGCCGUUAGUUACCAGCGGGUUAUGCCGGGAACUCUAACGGGACUGCCGGUGUUAAACCGGAGGAAGGUGGGGAUGACGUCAAGUCAUCAUGGCCUUUAUGCCUAGGGCAUCACACGUGCUACAAUGACCGGUACAAAGCGACGCAAGACCGCGAGGUGGAGCCAAUCGCAAAAACCGGCCUCAGUUCGGAUUGCAGGCUGGCAACUCGCCUGCAUGAAGUUGGAAUCGCUAGUAAUCGUGAAUCAGCUAUGUCACGGUGAAUGUGUUCCUGAGCCUU
RNAcentral lists this ribosomal RNA (457 nucleotides) under uncultured Phycisphaerae bacterium. RNAcentral's name for it is "bacterial SSU rRNA". It matches the Rfam family "Bacterial small subunit ribosomal RNA", at positions 936 to 1382 of the family's 1533-position model. Lineage: Bacteria; Pseudomonadati; Planctomycetota; Phycisphaerae. The record is from RNAcentral.